Molecule: long non-coding RNA, 299 nt
Filed under: Nicotiana benthamiana
Lineage: Eukaryota; Viridiplantae; Streptophyta; Magnoliopsida; Solanales; Solanaceae
Description: long non-coding RNA (NBEN_LNC035422)
Source: RNAcentral
GAGCUUCUAUGGGAUCAUGGGAUGUGUGCCGAUACUAGCAGAGGAGCUGCAGUCAGGGAUUUGAUUGCAAAAGCUCUAAAUGGUCCACUUGCACCUGCUCAACAAGAGGUUCAUAUGCUUCCUGUUGGAUAUUCCACUACAUACUUGUUCAAGUUCUAUUAUUAUUAUUAUUAUUAUUAUAGGUCCACUUGCACCUGCUCAACAAGAGGUGCAUAUGCUUCCUGUUGGAUAUUCCAGUACAUACUUGUUCAAGUUCUAUUAUUAUUAUUAUUAUUAUUAUUAUUAUUAUUAUUAUUGUU